Molecule: ribosomal RNA, 410 nt
Filed under: uncultured bacterium
Lineage: Bacteria
Description: bacterial SSU rRNA
Rfam family: Bacterial small subunit ribosomal RNA
Source: RNAcentral
AAUGGGCGCAAGCCUGAUGCAGCCAUGCCGCGUGUAUGAAGAAGGCCUUCGGGUUGUAAAGUACUUUCAGCGGGGAGGAAGGGAGUAAAGUUAAUACCUUUGCUCAUUGACGUUACCCGCAGAAGAAGCACCGGCUAACUCCGUGCCAGCAGCCGCGGUAAUACGGAGGGUGCAAGCGUUAAUCGGAAUUACUGGGCGUAAAGCGCACGCAGGCGGUUUGUUAAGUCAGAUGUGAAAUCCCCGGGCUCAACCUGGGAACUGCAUCUGAUACUGGCUAGCUUGAGUCUCGUAGAGGGGGGUAGAAUUCCAGGUGUAGCGGUGAAAUGCGUAGAGAUCUGGAGGAAUACCGGUGGCGAAGGCGGCUUUCUGGACGAUAACUGACGCUGAGGCGCGAAAGCGUGGGGAGCAAA